UCCCUGGUGGCUCAGAGGUUAAAGUGUCUGCCUCCAAUGCAGGAGACCUGGGUUUGAUCCCUGGGUGGGGAA
RNAcentral lists this transfer RNA (72 nucleotides) under Bos taurus (domestic cattle). It matches the Rfam family "tRNA". Rfam says of the family: Transfer RNA (tRNA) molecules are approximately 80 nucleotides in length. Their secondary structure includes four short double-helical elements and three loops (D, anti-codon, and T loops). The record is from Rfam by way of RNAcentral. RNAcentral also lists the same sequence under 5 other names. Lineage: Eukaryota; Metazoa; Chordata; Mammalia; Artiodactyla; Bovidae.